Hippocampus comes (tiger tail seahorse) is the source of this 592-nucleotide long non-coding RNA. RefSeq lists it as uncharacterized. The transcript has 2 exons. The record is from RefSeq and is a predicted model, not a curated record. Lineage: Eukaryota; Metazoa; Chordata; Actinopteri; Syngnathiformes; Syngnathidae.
AAAAUCGAAUCGAGUGAACGGUCCUAGACAGAGGUCCAACAAGACGCAUGUGUGUCUGCAACAUAGCAAGAAGGCGCUCCAUUGAGCUUUUGUGUGUGUGUGUGUGUGUGUCUGAAAUAGCCAUUGGUGCUACCAAACAUGGCGUCUGUGCCUCAGUGGCGUCAGGUGACAACAGCCGCCCUGUCAUUUGACUGGUGGGGCCCUUUUUUACAAAGGGCACCCACCGCUUAUUCUGCCCUCACCCGAAAAUCAACGUGGCUACUAGGAAUGCAGUUGGUUUUUUUUGUUGUAGAAAGAAAGCAAGCCAGGGAAAAAAAGAUGUGUCAUUUCUCAGGGAGAAAAUGUUCAUGCACAAAAACUGUUUUCAAAAUGGGACCAAACAUUGAUUUAUUUGAUUUUUUUUUUUUUUUAAUGAGGAUACAGUAGUAUUUGAAAAAAAAAUUUUAAGGAUGAAUUCUCUUUAUGAAAACAAGUUAGAAGAAUAGUGAUGUUUUUGGAAUAAAACGUAAUAUUACACAGGUAAAAUCUGAGUGAAUAGUGUCAGAAAGAAAAAAGUGAAAAACAAUAAUUAGAUUUCUUGACCUUUUUCUUU